Molecule: ribosomal RNA, 473 nt
Filed under: uncultured Alphaproteobacteria bacterium
Lineage: Bacteria; Pseudomonadati; Pseudomonadota; Alphaproteobacteria
Description: SSU rRNA
Rfam family: Bacterial small subunit ribosomal RNA
Source: RNAcentral
AGGGUUUGAUCAUGGCUCAGAACGAACGCUGGCGGCAUGCCUAACACAUGCAAGUCGAACGAAGUCUUCGGACUUAGUGGCGCACGGGUGCGUAACGCGUGGGAAUCUGCCCUUGGGUACGGAAUAACUCAGAGAAAUUUGUGCUAAUACCGUAUAAUGUCUUCGGACCAAAGAUUUAUCGCCCAAGGAUGAGCCCGCGUAAGAUUAGCUAGUUGGUGGGGUAAAAGCCUACCAAGGCGACGAUCUUUAGCUGGUCUGAGAGGAUGAUCAGCCACACUGGGACUGAGACACGGCCCAGACUCCUACGGGAGGCAGCAGUGGGGAAUAUUGGACAAUGGGCGAAAGCCUGAUCCAGCAAUGCCGCGUGAGUGAUGAAGGCCUUAGGGUUGUAAAGCUCUUUUACCCGGGAUGAUAAUGACAGUACCGGGAGAAUAAGCUCCGGCUAACUCCGUGCCAGCAGCCGCGGUAAUACG